Non-coding RNA from Dermacentor andersoni, 545 nucleotides. The record is from RefSeq and is a predicted model, not a curated record. Lineage: Eukaryota; Metazoa; Arthropoda; Arachnida; Ixodida; Ixodidae.
UGUGCCGUCGUGACCCGAAAUAUAGUGAAGCUAAUUUGUCUGCCAGUCCACGUCUGCCUAUUUUAGGAACAAUCAAUUUUAUCCGACAUUUCGAAACUAUUUUGCUGCCUGAAAGAAGACGCUGUUACGAUGAACUUUUCCAACAAAAAUAUGUUAUUUCGCCUAUAUCUCAUGGGAUUUACAUGCACCUUGGCGCUCGACGCUAGCCAAAAUACUGUGAAGGGCACUUGUACCUUCGAAGUUCAAGCCAAACCAAAGGGAAAUCAUCUAUGAUCGACCAAGCUGAGGAGCCUACUCAAGCACCUUCUACGUCAAUGCGAGGUCUAAAGUACUGCGUUGACGUCGGAUUCCGAUGCACUUUCCGGAAAUGCUGCCCACCUUAUGGAUGUGCACCCCCAAUAUAUAGGUGCAUAGUGCCGUAGCCCGUGUUCAAUGAAAUGGAAGUGAUGUGUUGAAUACGGAACAGGCCUCAAAACUUGGCGAAUAAACUGUCACAAGGAGCCUCAAAAUAACAUACAUGACACGGCUUUACAUCACACAUUCAA